RNAcentral lists this long non-coding RNA (236 nucleotides) under Carica papaya (papaya). Its description in RNAcentral is "long non-coding RNA (CPAP_LNC013148)". The record is from RNAcentral. Lineage: Eukaryota; Viridiplantae; Streptophyta; Magnoliopsida; Brassicales; Caricaceae.
CCUAAUAUCCAUUUGUUUAUAUAUUUGUAGAAAUGGUAACCAAGAACAUGAUUAUUGAUUUGUCUACAAACGAAAAGUUGAAUGUGACAAAUUAUGAUAUAUGGCAAGAAAGAUUUAGUAUCUUCUUAACGAGUGUGAGGUUUUAGAAACCUUGAUCACUAUUGUACCUGAACUAAAAAAUAUUGGUAGUGACUGUUACAAUGAGGAUUUGGCUGCAUAUCAGGAAUGGUCUAAAA